RNAcentral lists this ribosomal RNA (422 nucleotides) under uncultured bacterium. Its description in RNAcentral is "bacterial SSU rRNA". It matches the Rfam family "Bacterial small subunit ribosomal RNA", at positions 354 to 786 of the family's 1533-position model. The record is from RNAcentral.
UGGGGGAAUAUUGGGGCAAUGGGGGAAACCCUGACCCAGCAACGCCGCGUGAAGGAAGAAGGCUUCGGGUUGUAAACUUCUUUUACCAGGGAGCGAAAGGACGUGACGGUACCUGGAGAAAAAGCAACGGCUAACUACGUGCCAGCAGCCGCGGUAAUACGUAGGUUGCAAGCGUUGUCCGGAUUUACUGGGUGUAAAGGGCGUGUAGGCGGAGAAGCAAGUUGGGAGUGAAAUCCAUGGGCUCAACCCAUGAACUGCUCUCAAAAACUGUUUCCCUUGAGUAUCGGAGAGGCAAGCGGAAUUCCUAGUGUAGCGGUGAAAUGCGUAGAUAUUAGGAGGAACACCAGUGGCGAAGGCGGCUUGCUGGACGACAACUGACGCUGAGGCGCGAAAAGCGUGGGGAGCAAACAGGAUUAGAUACC